GAUGAACGUUAGCGGCAGGCCUAAUACAUGCAAGUCGGACGGGAUUUGGGAGCUUGCUCCCAAUGAGAGUGGCGCACGGGUGCGUAACACGUAUGUAAUCUACCUUAAUCAGGGGGAUAGCCUCUCGAAAGAGAGAUUAACACCGCAUAACAUGUUUUUAUGGCAUCGUAGAAAUAUCAAAUAUUUAUAGGAUUAAGAUGGGCAUGCGGAACAUUAGCUAGUUGGUAAGGUAACGGCUUACCAAGGCUACGAUGUUUAGGGGAUCUGAGAGGAUGACCCCCCACACUGGUACUGAGACACGGACCAGACUCCUACGGGAGGCAGCAGUAAGGAAUAUUGGUCAAUGGGCGCAAGCCUGAACCAGCCAUGCCGCGUGCAGGAAGACGGCCCUAUGGGUUGUAAACUGCUUUUGUACCGGAAUAAACCCUUUUACGUGUAAAAGGCUGAAUGUACGGUAAGAAUAAGGAUCGGCUAACUCCGUGCCAGCCGCCGCGGUAA
RNAcentral lists this ribosomal RNA (498 nucleotides) under uncultured bacterium. Its description in RNAcentral is "partial 16S ribosomal RNA". It matches the Rfam family "Bacterial small subunit ribosomal RNA", at positions 28 to 523 of the family's 1533-position model. The record is from RNAcentral.